Molecule: long non-coding RNA, 3430 nt
Filed under: Mus caroli (Ryukyu mouse)
Lineage: Eukaryota; Metazoa; Chordata; Mammalia; Rodentia; Muridae
Description: lncRNA (MGP_CAROLIEiJ_G0006221.1)
Source: RNAcentral
GUGUGUUCGUGGCUCGGAUCAGCCUUCCACGUCAUCCUCCUGCCUCAGCUUACCCCAGUCCUGGGAUUACAGACUUUAGGGAGUCAUGAUUAAAAAUAUAUAAAUAGCCAGACUGGUUGCACAUACGUGUGAUUCCAGUGCUCACAAGGCAGAGAUGGGAAGAUCAAGACUUAAUUUGAGGCUAGCCUGAUCUACAUAACAAGAUGCAGACCGGGCAGGACUACAUAGUGAAACCUUGUCCCCUUCCAUCACUAAAAAAUCUCCUGAAGUUCUGUCAUUCCCCGUGGUCUACAGUUCAGGAAGCACCUGGAACAUGCGGCACCUCUGCAAUGGGAACAAGACCGGCGUCAUCAGCUUCAGAUGUGUUCUUGGAACGCUGACAGUAUUUGAAAGAGAGCCACGUCUUGUCUUUUGCAUUCUCCACGGAGUCUUCAAGUGCUGAAACACUGAGGGAAGGGCCGUGCCUAGUAGCUGUGUGUCACUAUGGACUCUGUGGUAUAGGAGAUGGGCUCUGGCNAGUUGCCUUUGAAGAUGAACCUCUUUUCCAGACAGUUUUCACACAGGGCGGUAGGAGAUUUCUUAUUGCUACACCUUCCACCCUAGCCCUGAUCCUCGCCACCAGGCCGCCCAGCCAUAUUAGCUCAGAAGAUCCAUAAAGGGGCUGGAGCCCCAGUCCCCUCCCCUCUGCUUGAAGAUGUUAUUAGUUAGAGUGGUGCUAGGAUGCAGGAAGACCUUGGGAAGGGGCACUUGGUGACUAAGCAAGAAUGGGCACGGGUAUGCUGACUCAGCACACCCAGCUUGCAGGGGAGGCUGGCUCGAGGACCACCCUCAGGUGACCUUGGAGGUCUGCAGGCUCAGCUCCCGAAUUGCCUAGACCCAUACCUGUCGGGGAAAUGGUAACUUCGGAACUUAGUAGGCAGACAGUUUCUGGAGGUAACAUAGAGACAUGAAGGGGUACACUGAGCUGCUCCCCAAGGGAGCCCCAGGCAAAGGUCACAGCCCUUUUCGCCUAUGGCUGAGUUCUGGGUCCCACCAAGGAUAGAACUCCCCUUCCUUGUCAUCUAUGAAAAUGUCUUGAUGUCUCUAAAUCCCAAGUUCCCCUAUGGCCACAGCCCUGCUUCUAACCUUCUUCUAAAGCAAGUACGGUAAGAGAUGGAGAUGUCGCUCAAUUGGUAAGGUGCUUGCCUAGCAUGCACAGAGAAGCCCUGGCACCCUUUUGCAAUUCUUCAGAAACCAGGUGUGGUGGAGCAUCUUGUAAUCCCAGUACUUGGGAACAUGUGGGCAGGCCACAUCCAAAUCUGUUGUCUCCAGUAUACCGGACUCUGGCUCUGGAAAUUAGUUGCUAGGAUGUAAUCUGGGCUGAGUCUCUAGGACAGCGUCUCCAGUUGGACCUAGAAUGACUGCCCCGAGCCACAUUCAACAAGAAAUAGCACAAAGGGGUAGAAGAGACAGAGGUGGAGAAAGUGCAGGCUCUGAAGGGACAGAUGGAAGGUAAUCCAGGUUCAUUCUAAAGCGGGCAGGGCUUCCAGGGGCCUUCUCAAGGCAUCCGUCUAGAGACCUGCAGAUUUGCACCCUUGCUGCUCUUGGCAGCACACACCUGUAAUCCCAGCAAGGCAGGGCACUCAAGAGUUCAAAGUCAUCCUUGGCUACAAAGUGAGUGUGAGACUAGCCUGGGUAUCAUAAAUGAAGUCCUUCCUCAAAACAAACAAACAAACAAAAGCUACUUAGGCCCCGGGCUGUGUUUCUCAUUGCCCUACUCCCUGGUCUGAGGUCACCAGCAGGGCUCCCAGCUGUUCCUUUGAGCCAGCUGUGUCUUCAUUGAGGUCCCUGACUGGCAUUCUGUCAUCCCCCAUCUGUGUGAGAGGAUCUCNNNNNNNNNNNNNNNNNNNNNNNNNNNNNNNNNNNNNNNNNNNNNNNNNNNNNNNNNNNNNNNNNNNNNNNNNNNNNNNNNNNNNNNNNNNNNNNNNNNNNNNNNNNNNNNNNNUAAGCAGCCCGAUUUCUGGACUCUGUGGCCCUUUAAAAAUCCUGCUGCUUCUACAAUCUCUUCUUUAGCCUGCCCAAGCCUCUCUAAUGCUUUACAGGAACAUGNGUGCCCGUGAGAGACAUGAGCUAAGGCAAUGAGAAGCUGUGACGCAGAUUCUGACACCAGCCCUCAGUACAUACCUUGUGCGCCCCACAUGGUAUAAGGUCCAGGUGCUAAGGCCAGUUUGCUCACCGGCAAAGUGAGUCUCAGCCUGUAAAGAGAACAGGAAUGUGCCUCCAGAGAGAAAAAAAGAACACAUGAAGAUGAAAUCCGGGCUUGGGGGCAAAAAGGAAACAUUUAAAUGUGUACCUUGUGAUAGGAUUACACUCCCCGCCCCACCUUCACCAGAUGAGAUGACAGUACUUACGUAAGGUACUGUAUGUAGAUUGAACUCUGGACCUCACACUUUCUGGAAAGUGCUCUCCCACUAAGCCACACCCCCAGCCCCUCACUGGGGGAUUCUGGGCAGGUGCUCUACUGCUGAAUCAUGUCCCCAACUCUUUUUUGACUUGAUUUUGAGACAAGGUCUUACUGAGUUGCCUAGGCUGGCCUGAAUCUCACUCUGUAGCCCAGGCUGGCCUUGGACUCACAUUUUUCCCCCUGCUUAGCCUGCUGAGCCCCUGGGAUCAUAGACUUGCCUUGUUAUACCCAUUUGCUGCUGCAGCUAAUACCUUUAAACCUGUCUUCCCCCACCCCAGAAAACCUUCCUAGCUUAGUAUUGUCUUAAAUCCAGUGAAGAGAACAGCAGCUUUUCCCUGUUCCUCCACAUGAGGGCGCUACACCGCUCAGCCAUGGGGUGAUGUGUUCAAGCCUCUCCCACAACCUUUAUGGGUGCAUUUCUUUUCUGUGUGUUCUCUAAUGAGAAGCACUGGGGCAUCUCUGCAUGGUUUUUCUUGCCAGUUUCUCUUGUAGCUCUCUCUCCCAGCAGACAGCCACAUUCAGCACACCCCUCACUCGUGNACUGCCAUGGCCGUCCGUUCCUUGUGACCAGCCAGAUGACUUAGAUAAUAGGGGAGUUUGAAAUGAAUGAGCUGAUACUGUCUGUAGGUUAGGAUUCUGACCAAAGGGUCUUCGAGGCUCUAGGGGAAGGGAUUAAUUGAAAUACCUUCCUGAGCAUAGGGCUUUUCUCCAGUGUGAAUUCUCUGACGUUGAACGAGUUUUGUGAAUCUUNAAAGCCCUCACGUGGUCACUGUAGUUGGUAGAUUUCUGUUGUGCAGAAGUAGCCAGGGUGCUUGGACGCUGGCUGACUCCUCCCACACCCUCGGGACUCUCUCUCAGGUGAAUGGUACAGCAGUGUUAAGCAGGUCCAGAGCCUCUAGGAAAACUGCUUUGUGUUCCUAACAGUCGAUAUUGGUUCCUGCUGUUACAACUGUUACAACGUUAAAUAAAUAAACUUGAUCCAGACUC